This is a long non-coding RNA of Polyodon spathula (Mississippi paddlefish), 1262 nucleotides long. RefSeq lists it as uncharacterized. The transcript is spliced from 3 exons. Lineage: Eukaryota; Metazoa; Chordata; Actinopteri; Acipenseriformes; Polyodontidae. The record is from RefSeq and is a predicted model, not a curated record.
GCUGUCUUCAUUAGUAUUAGGACAUUGCACUGUUGCAGAGACACUGAGAACAGAAGCAGGACUGCAGAGGUACAUAACUCCAUAGGACAGACACCUUUCUAUAUUACCAAAUGCAGUCUUAUUCAAAAACAAAAAUCAAACAUGGCAUGUGUUUAUCAUAAAGAUGGAAAUACUUCAGGAAUCUUCCCCGAGUUCUGGCCUGAAUGCUAAGCAGCUCCUCUCGACCACUGACACCCACAAGCAAAGGCUGCUGCUCCCCAGGAGUUGGUUGAACUUUUAAAAUGCUAAAGAGCCCACUGGAGGAUGUCUUCCGAAGGGGAUCGUUGGAUACCACAGAGUGCAGUCAGAGCCGCUUACCCACAGUACCCCAGGACUGUAUGGAUAUUCGUAUGAAAUGAAAAAAAAAAAAAAUUUUAGCAAGGGUUUUAGAAAUGUAUUUUCUCUUCUAUUAGUAUUAGGAUUAUUACACCUUUUGGACUAGUCUUCCAUUCAGCUUAAUUCCAUGUUGCUCAUUCCAUGUUGCUCAUUCUCUGUUGCUCAUUGCCUGCAAUGCAAAUCUUCCUGUGUAAUUUGAAUCUUAUUUCAAGGCCAGUUUGCAUAAACUAAAAUAUGAUUAAUGACGGGACUGUUACUGAUUGCUCAUAUUGAUACCCAUUUAAACAUACACCGGAGUACGUGGACAUGGGCAUCAGGGCACUGUGAACUCAUUAUUAUACCAUGUACACCUGCUACGUGGCCAAGGGUCAGAAAACAAAGCCACCUGGCACUGCAGUGUGUUGAUCAGGUUGUUUGUUAGCUUUGGAAGGCUCUCUGGGUUCUUCCUGUUAAAGGCCAUUCCUCACUAUGGCAUGGUAUGUUACACCAGAAAUGUGGGGAGGAACGUGGCAGAACAGCCCCCAUAAAAUUUACAAGCAAAAGUGAUAAAGAGUGGUUCAAUCACAGGCUAUUUAGUCCAUUGCUAAGUUAACACCCACACGCUUUCGGGAGCUCUUACAUGCCUCGUUGGGUUUUUAUCCCUAUAAUUCUGUUACAUUAGUAGUGUUUUGUUUUGCAAAAAAAAGGGCUCCUGGCUACAUUCAGCGAGCAAGGCCCUGAACAGAUUAAAUACAGUGACCUGUAUCGUAGCUCUUUCCUUACCUGCUUUCAUUGUGAACACUGGAGAACUCACUGCCAAUUAUAAACAUGUACAGGCUGCUAGACUGAGUCACAUCCAGAAUCUGUGUCUGAAUGGUUUCAGGGGUUGGAAUCUGCAAAUUCAAGAC